RNAcentral lists this non-coding RNA (30 nucleotides) under Homo sapiens (human). Lineage: Eukaryota; Metazoa; Chordata; Mammalia; Primates; Hominidae. The record is from RNAcentral.
UCCCACUCCACUCCAAGGAUCCAACAGCGC